GAGGAAGCAGGGCAGGGCACCAGGAAGGGUUUCUCACCCCCGGGUGGGAACAACGCUGUGGGAUCUGAGCUGGAGCCCGACCUCAGCUCCUCUCCCCUCCUAACACACCUGCACGGGGUUUAUUUGUAAAACUUCAUCUCUGCGUCCACGCAGUCGAAGAAGAGCUCGGCCAGCUCCUCUGGCUUUGGGGCCACGUUCCCCGCCAGCAGCGCAUUCACCGCCUCCAGGCCCUGCUUCUCCAGGUCCCGCAGCGUCUGCAGGAGCUCCUGGCCCCGCUCCUGGUCCUUCUCCAUCAGCUCCAGCGCUGCCUGGUGCCGGCGGUAGAGCUCG
This 330-nucleotide long non-coding RNA is filed under the name Gallus gallus (chicken). Lineage: Eukaryota; Metazoa; Chordata; Aves; Galliformes; Phasianidae. The record is from RNAcentral.